Tupaia belangeri chinensis (Chinese tree shrew) is the source of this 923-nucleotide long non-coding RNA. RefSeq lists it as uncharacterized. The transcript has 3 exons. The record is from RefSeq and is a predicted model, not a curated record. Lineage: Eukaryota; Metazoa; Chordata; Mammalia; Scandentia; Tupaiidae.
UGAAGGCAGAGGGGCUGUGUUUUCUGAUCUCCUUUCUUGGACACUUUGAGGAAGAUGAGAAGGUUGAAAAUGUCCAGGAGGGUGUGAAUCUUAAUUUUGUUUUCAAAAUAAAUGCAACUAAAAGUGUAUCCUAAACUUCCCAAAAGACCUUGAUGUCUACACUACAGGAGCAACAGGAGUUUCAUUAAGAUAAUCUUUAUUGGGAAAGACGACUCCAGAGGGAGAAGAGCCACCUUAGUCUGACAUCACCACAUGGCAGAGGGUAAAGAAAACGGGAAGCUCAGCCACAUGUUACCUUGACUUCCAGCAAAUGAAAUCAUUCACCAAAAUCCACUCUCAUCCAUACCCACUCAGGAGCAGCAAACAACCAGAAGAAUACUCUCAUCCAUACCCACUCAGGAGCAGCAGACAACCAGAAGAACACUCUCAUCCAUACCCACUCAGGAGCAGCAAACAACCAGAAGAACACUCUCAUCCAUACCCACUCAGCAGCAGCAAACAACCAGAAGAACACUAGCAAACAUGAAGCUGGUGUUUUUUUUUUUUCCUUUAUACCUUUAUAAAGAAUUCCUCCUGAAAAUAUUUAAUGAUGCUGCAUUAAAAAUGAAGCUGGUGUGAAGUGAAGGGGUUAAAGCCCGUUAGCUAAAACUUCCUUAAAGUCUCUUACUAGUGAUGUCCACACUGUUUCCCAAGACAGACACCGCAGAAAGCUGCAGUUUUCAUUUAGAAAAAAGCAAAGCGCCAAACCUCCCACCUUGUUGAAAAUGUAGACACACAUCCGGUCACUGUGUAACUGAAUUUUGCACAUUUUGGAAUACAACUUGAGCCUGACAUUUCAAAAAUAAACUUGUAGGUUUCCAUUAAAUACAUAUUAGUACCAAAUGAAACCAAGAAACAUCAUUUAUCUUGAUUUAAAACUCAUC